RNAcentral lists this long non-coding RNA (3800 nucleotides) under Cyanistes caeruleus (blue tit). RNAcentral's name for it is "lncRNA (ENSCCEG00000013369.1)". The record is from RNAcentral. Lineage: Eukaryota; Metazoa; Chordata; Aves; Passeriformes; Paridae.
GCCACAUGUCCAAGCUACACUUGGGAUUCAUGUGGGUUAAAAAAAUGUGCAUUUUCUUCCCUCAAAACAAAACAAUCUUCUGCUAAACCACGUGCAGUAUGGGGGUACCUGGGUGGAAGAUUCAUGAUCUUUAAUGUAGCCAUGUUGAGAGACCAGUGGCUUUGUCCUGGCCUGAGUGAAACAGUUGCCUGGAUGUCUGCACUGGGCACAGCUGCAUUUGGAUCAUCCCUGUUUCCAGAGCCCUGCGAUUACCUGUGAAGCAGAUAUCUGUUUCUCAGUCCCCCUGGGAAGUUCAGGGAGAAAAAGAGGGAGUGGGAGCCCUGAAAGCAAGGAGUUUCCUGCUUUCUCUCCCUAGGAAUCCCACAGUGAACAAUCCAAGGCACUCUCCAGCCUCACUCAGAGCCAGCAGUGGCCCCUCGGGAUGUUCCAAUGACACAAAACCUGCUGAUGGUGCUCUUAGGAUGGCCCUGAAUUACCCCAUCACUUACCAACAGCCAAAUGUUCAGCACCAAGGGGAGCCACGUAAGAGCUCAGAACAUUCACGUGAGGUGACUACAGCUUGGGAUGUGAGAAAUCCACUCCUGGGACAUUUCCCUCACGGGGUGCCACUCUCAGGGAGAGCAGCAAUGAGAGCAAACAGCAGACCUGGAGGAUCUGUCCACUGUGUGGUUUGUGACCACAGCACAUGUCCAGGAGUGGGGCCACCACGCUGCUCAGGACCAGCAGCCACACAAAAAUCAGCCCAGGACACCAGGCAAUGGCUGGGGUCAAAGGAGCCACCACUGAACACCCUUCCUGAGGUAUUCCAUUUCUUCAAGAUGCAGGAAACUGAUAACCAAAGCAAAUAAAUUCUUCCUGAGAACUAACUCUUUGAGUCACUUAUGUAUUUGUAGGCAACUGCGCAGUAAGGUCCAGACAAAAUAAUUUUUUUCCCAAAAAAUGUAGGCAAAAGCAUGUACAAAAACUGUGGAAAAGCAGGGAGAAAAUUCUAGAGAAAGAAACUUUUGAACUAUUCUUCACCUUGUGGGCAAGUUUUGGGUUUUUUCCUACUACAGCCAGUGCAGAUUUUCUUCCCCAAGUUCAUUUUGAUAUAGUAUUUUUUAAGUUUCCUUUAAUUCCUAUAGAAAAAAGGGGAUGGGAGGAAAAAAAUAAUUUUGCUUCUAUUGUCUAUCAAAAAUAAUAUUCCUAACAGAAGCAUAUUUUUGUUUAAAUUUGAAAGAAAACAAAAACUAUUUCAAGGGACUUGAAAUAUUUGAUGGCAGACAAAAUUUGGUGUGGAGUUUUAGAGACUUUGCUUCUACAAACCUUGUUGCUUUUAUUGCUCAAGAAAAAUUCCAGUAUUUGGUGAAUCUUCCCUACCAACCUGCUGUUUCAAGCAGGGCACAAUCUUGACUGUUCUCUGACCAUUCUUCUGUCCUUGAAGGAUUCAGCCCAUGCAGCACCCAGAGGAAGAAGAAGAGACCAUCACACAAAAUUACUGAGGGCAGCACCUGCAAGAGCAGAUGUUCUUAGGAAACCAUGGUCUCCUGUUCUCCAGCUACCUCCAAUUCUCCUGAAAAUAUGUCCCUUCCCAACUAAAUGCUGAUGCCCACUGACCAAGUUUCCCAAGCUUUGUUUAGAUGAUGCCAGGUAGGUGGCUAAAGCUCUCAGCCCUGCAGGGUUCAUUCUAAAGGGCUGGUUCUGAGCCCUCCUCCAAAAUUUUGAUGCUUUCACUGCAGAAAGAGGCAGCCAGCUCCAUGGGAGAGGCUGACACACUUGGCAUCCCUGAAGCCACUACAGAUCUAUCUGAGGAUCACAAGAAUGAACAGAAACUGGCAGGAAAACAGCCUGGAUGGGGGCACUGCAGCAGGAGUGUUCUGUGCCACACUAUUUCCCUCCCCCUGAUCCCAUACAUUAUCCCAAACCUUCCUCACACUGGGAAGAACUGCCUCUUCCAGUGCUUCCCAGCUGCCAUGUGAAAGGUUUUCCUGCUGCCCAAACCCUGUCCCCAGCCAGCUCCCCAAGCCUGCUGAGGCUCAGGAUUGUCAGUGAAAUCAAGGAACUGGCCCAGCUGCCCCAGAUGCUGCACACCAGAGCUCCCAGGCAAGUUCAGUGCAAAACUUCCCUUUUCCUUGUUGAUUUGCUACUCCCUUAUAACUACCAGACCAAUUAGCUGCAAGCCUGGGCAGAUGGUUAAAAUCCCACUUUGCUGGCUCACUAUCCACUCUCUUUUUUCCCUGUUUAAUGCUCCUGCCAGCAGUGAUUUCACUGACUCCAACCAUAAUAGCCUCUUCCCUCCCCUCAGGCCAGGAGCACACCUCUGUCAUGAAAAAUUUCCCUCCUGUCUUGUACCUUCAGCCUGAUCUGCCUGCAGCCCGACCUGCAGGUUGUUUUUCUUCUCACUGCUUAAAAUGCUUUGGAAACAAAGACUCCCUAAUCCCCCCAGCCCAGCCAGGCACCUCUGGGAAGCCCCUCCUGGUAGUGCAGAGGGAGCAGUAGCCUCAGCAGGAGGUACAGGGCACCCCACAAGCUGGUGGGAUGAGCUGAAUGGAGGCUGUGUAGGAAACAGGAUCUCAUGGGCUGGUGGGGAUGGAGCAGGACACAGAGGUGAAACCAUGAGAUGUGAUCUGGGGGGAAGAAGAGCAGAGAUCCUGACACCUGGCCACUGCCCAGCCCAUCAGUCUCAAAUGGAAAGAGCUCACCUGUGUAGGAGGAGAAGCUGGCUGAGGUUGUGACAACCUUAUCUGCCUUUAAGACCACUCCACAAAUGACCAAAAUCUAAGAUUCUGUGCAAUGACUUCAAAGUGCAUGUGGUACAGGAAAAAAGUCUCCAGCCAUGACAGACUGGUGUUCAUCACAUCAUUUCCUAGUGAGGAGGAGAGAGAGAUGAUUCAGACCCAAAUCAGACUGGACAAGUGUGAAUCACAGCAUUUGCCUCACAUUCCUUCCAGCCAAAACCAGCCCUGCCUGUUGCUGCUUGGGGCUGGGAGCAUCAAUACAGGCAUUUCUUUAAUUUGGGGGUGCACAGAAGUUUCAUUAAUUCAUUUCCAUCUGCCACUGCUGAAGUGCUGUGGACACAGGAGUCCUCCAGCUGAGAUGGGAAUCUGUCUCACAGGCAGGAUUUGAUGCAGGGAGGCAGCAGCAUCCAGGUCUCAGGGUCCAUUUAGAAGGUUAGCAACGAGGCAAACUCCAUCUGCUAGUGCCACCCUGAGUAUAAACAAUGAGGGAGAUGGAUUUGGUCUUGAAACCUGUCUCAGACCCUGGUUACCCAAGAGGAUAAAUGCAAAACCAGACACUGACCUCCCUUAUCAGCUGAGUAGGAAGCAGAGCUCUGCCUUCACAUCAUCUCAGCCUCAAGGAUGGCCCUUGAGCAAGGAUUGGAGACCUCACCGUAUCAGAAACAAGAACCCUUCUUUAAAAAAUGUCCAGUACAGUAUGCCCUUGGGGAAAGGUCAGAAAUUAUUUUCUGCCCAUUUCUUAAUGCAAGUAGAGCAUGAAGGAUUGACUCAUCUGAAGCAAAGCAGCAAGGCAGUGACAUCAUCACAACCACCAUCCAAAUACUCUCUGAUGGAACCAAAAAUCUUACACCUACUUUGCAGAGGCAUCUGCUCAGUAUGUCUGGAAGCUUUUCCCCCUUACAUGGUGUUAUAUAUUGCAUACUUUUUAGUUUUUGUUUGCACGAAAAAGAUUUUCACUAUUCUGUAGGACGGAGCUGGUGGAUUAACCUUUAUCAUUUCAUUUUAGAAUAGGAAUGGGUGAAUAGCAUGCUAUGGUCAAGCUUUCUGAAUAAAAAACCUGUGGUAAGGGAAAAGAUGAUCUCU